AGAGUUUGAUCCUGGCUCAGGAUGAACGCUGGCGGCGUGCUUAACACAUGCAAGUCGAACGAUUAAGCCAACUUCGGUUGGGUAUAGAGUGGCGAACGGGUGAGUAACACGUGACCAACCUGCUCCGGGCACCGGGACAACCGCUGGAAACGGCGGCUAAUACCGGAUACUCCGGGGGCUCCGCAUGGGGCCCCCGGGAAAGCGCACACGGCACGGGAUGGGGUCGCGGCCCAUUAGGUAGUAGGCGGGGUAACGGCCCACCUAGCCCGCGAUGGGUAGCCGGACUGAGAGGUCGAUCGGCCACAUUGGGACUGAGAUACGGCCCAGACUCCUACGGGAGGCAGCAGUGGGGAAUUUUGCGCAAUGGGGGAAACCCUGACGCAGCAACGCCGCGUGCGGGAUGAAGGCCUUCGGGUUGUAAACCGCUUUCAGCAGGGACGAUUGUGACGGUACCUGCAGAAGAAGCUCCGGCUAACUACGUGCCAGCAGCCGCGGUAAUACGUAGGGAGCGAGCGUUAUCCGGAUUCAUUGGGCGUAAAGCGCGCGUAGGCGGCUGCCUAAGCGGAACCUCUAAUCUUGGGGCUCAACCUCAAGCCGGGUUCCGAACUGGGCGGCUCGAGUGCGGUAGGGGCAGGUGGAAUUCCCGGUGUAGCGGUGGAAUGCGCAGAUAUCGGGAGGAACACCGAUGGCGAAGGCAGCCUGCUGGGCCGCCACUGACGCUGAGGCGCGAAAGCUGGGGGAGCGAACAGGAUUAGAUACCCUGGUAGUCCCAGCCGUAAACGAUGGACGCUAGGUGUGGGGGGAUCGUCCCUCCGUGCCGCAGCCAACGCAUUAAGCGUCCCGCCUGGGGAGUACGGCCGCAAGGCUAAAACUCAAAGGAAUUGACGGGGGCCCGCACAAGCAGCGGAGCAUGUGGCUUAAUUCGAAGCAACGCGAAGAACCUUACCAAAUCUUGACAUCCCGAUGACCAAGCAUGUAAUGUGCUCUUUCUUCGGAACAUCGGUGACAGGUGGUGCAUGGUUGUCGUCAGCUCGUGUCGUGAGAUGUUGGGUUAAGUCCCGCUACGAGCGCAACCCCUGUCUUCAGUAGCCAGCAGGUAAAGCUGGGCACUCUGGAGAGACUGCCGGGGAUAACCCGGAGGAAGGCGGGGAUGACGUCAAAUCAUCAUGCCCCUUAUGAUUUGGGCUACACACGUGCUACAAUGGCGUAAACAAAGGGAAGCAACCCCGCGAGGGUGAGCAAAUCCCAAAAAUAACGUCCCAGUUCGGAUUGUAGUCUGCAACCCGACUACAUGAAGCUGGAAUCGCUAGUAAUCGCGAAUCAGAAUGUCGCGGUGAAUACGUUCCCGGGUCUUGCACUCACCGCCCGUCA
Molecule: ribosomal RNA, 1371 nt
Filed under: uncultured bacterium
Lineage: Bacteria
Description: bacterial SSU rRNA
Rfam family: Bacterial small subunit ribosomal RNA
Source: RNAcentral